This is a long non-coding RNA of Malus domestica (apple), 548 nucleotides long. RefSeq lists it as uncharacterized. The record is from RefSeq and is a predicted model, not a curated record. NCBI's taxonomy places the organism in Eukaryota, Viridiplantae, Streptophyta, Magnoliopsida, Rosales, Rosaceae.
CUCCGCCAGUGAGCAUAUCACUAGAUUUUUAGAGAACAAAGAAGCAAGAACAAAAAAAGAGGAGGAAGAAAGAUACUCAUCCCCAGACAGCUAGGGAAAAUUAAUAAACUUAGACUUUUGGUUAACUAUGAUGGGAAGUGGGGCAAUUCUAUAUACAUUGGUGGUAAAACGAAGGGAAUUAUGGUUUCAGACAGCAUUACCUAUGAAGGACUUGUGCAGAGACUGUAUCAUAUUCUUGAGGUAGAUCCCAGUGAAUAUAAGAUCAUAAUAACGACGGCAUAUGGAUCAAAAUUACCAACCCAACCGUGAAGCUAAUCGAUGAUGAUGACCUGACAUUUUUCAUUGACGAGAGUCUGUCAUUGGACGAGGGCUCGAAAAUUCCUUUGUGCAUCACUCUCCAACGACGGUUUUAUCGUUGGCAUCUUUUUUCUUCUUCGUUUGUUCUUCUCUUUUCUUUUCUGAUGCUUGUCUUUGUGAAUGUCUCCUACGUUGCCUUUUGAGUACUCGAAGCCCUAGAUUGCAAGCUAUGAAAAAAUUAGUUCAUUGCU